CCUACGGGAGGCAGCAGUGGGGGAUAUUGCACAAUGGGGGAAACCCUGAUGCAGCGACGCCGCGUGGGUGAAGAAGUAUUUCGGUAUGUAAAGCCCUAUCAGCAGGGAAGAAAGAAGACGGUACCUGACUAAGAAGCCCCGGCUAACUACGUGCCAGCAGCCGCGGUAAUACGGAGGGGGCGAGCGUUAUCCGGAUUCACUGGGUGUAAAGGGAGCGUAGACGGCCGUGCAAGCCAGGAGUGAAAGCCCGGGGCCCAACCCCGGGACUGCUCUUGGAACUGUGCGGCUGGAGUGCGGGAGGGGCAGGCGGAAUUCCUGGUGUAGCGGUAAAAUGCGUAGAUAUCAGGAGGAACACCGGCGGCGAAGGCGGCCUGCUGGACCGCGACUGACGUUGAGGCUCGAAAGCGUGGGGAGCGAACAGGAUUAGAUACCCCUGUAGUC
This 441-nucleotide ribosomal RNA is filed under the name uncultured bacterium. RNAcentral's name for it is "partial 16S ribosomal RNA". It matches the Rfam family "Bacterial small subunit ribosomal RNA", at positions 338 to 795 of the family's 1533-position model. The record is from RNAcentral.